Molecule: unclassified non-coding RNA, 204 nt
Filed under: Hevea brasiliensis (rubber tree)
Lineage: Eukaryota; Viridiplantae; Streptophyta; Magnoliopsida; Malpighiales; Euphorbiaceae
Source: RNAcentral
AUUUAUUGGGUGGCUAUAAAGAUGAAGAUUUAGUCUCCAACUUUUUUUUCCAGCUUUAAUCUAAAUUGGAGAAAAAAGACAAUUUUAGCCUUUAGCCUAGGAGUAAAGUAACUAACAGGAUCUUUUUGGGGUUUUAGGCAGAGGUGGCAAAAUUACUCAAAUUCUUUACUUAAGUAGAAGUACAGAUACUUGAGUAAAAAAAGA